AGCGAACGUUUGCGGCGGGCCUAACACAUGCAAGUCGAACGGGCUGUCCUUCGGGCGAGUCAGUGGCGCACGGGUGCGUAACACGUAGGUAAUCAACCCUCGGGUUCGGGAGUAACACUGCGAAAGAGGUGCUAAUACCGGAUGCGACGGUCAGCUCUUCGGAGUUGGUCGGGAAAGAUCCGCAAGGAUUGCCCGAGGACGAGCCUGCGGCCCAUCAGCUUGUUGGUGAGGUAAAAGACUCACCAAGGCUAAGACGGGUAGCUGGUCUGAGAGGAUGAUCAGCCACACUGGAACUGAGACACGGUCCAGACUCCUACGGGAGGCAGCAGUGGGGAAUAUUGCGCAAUGGACGAAAGUCUGACGCAGCCACGCCGCGUGAGCGAUGAAGGCCCUCGGGUCGUAAAGCUCUGUGGGGAGAGAAGAAUAAAGCCGGUGAAGAGCCGGCCCUGACGGGUAUCUCCUUAGCAAGCACCGGCUAACUCCGUGCCAG
This 490-nucleotide ribosomal RNA is filed under the name uncultured bacterium. RNAcentral's name for it is "bacterial SSU rRNA". It matches the Rfam family "Bacterial small subunit ribosomal RNA", at positions 29 to 511 of the family's 1533-position model. The record is from RNAcentral.